CGGGGGGCGGGGCAGCGGGAGGAGCCUGCGUGAGCCGUGCGCCGGGCGGAGAACAGCGCUGCGCGGGGCUGCGUGCGGGUCCGGCGCUACGGCCCGAGGACACCGACCGCAUCAGCAAAUGACCCCUGUGUUCUGACGCGUUCGAAUUAGCUUUUCUUCCACCAGAAACGUUUUAAUUGAAUAAUCACGUGGGAGACGAUGUUCCGUUGUUUUACUUUGCUCCUGGUGCGUGCACGUCGGGCUGCAGCGCCUGCAUCUGCACGUGUCCUCUCACGGCCGCGACGGCCGCUGGUCUCAGGGACGGGCAUUGGAACCUCGCUGUGCUGCUGUGGGCACAUCUCGGCUCCGAGACGUCCUGAGAUCUGACACCGACUUCAUGCAAAUUCCACAAGAAAACAGUGUUGAGGUUCACGGCAGCUGCAGACGUACAGCUCACGACCUCACCCGUCAGCGGGUUUGCAACGUAAGGCUGCUCUCAUUUCAACAGCGAGAGCAAUUCAGGGCAUUUUAAACGCAGCAGAGUGCCUCAUUUCGGAGCCCGCCCUGCCCUAAUUGAAUGCCAAGCCCUUGAUGUAACUUACUGAUAGCACAACGUGUAAUGCUAUCUGGGAAGGUACGGCACCGUAUCAUUAAGGACUUGUCAGAGCACUCCUCUGUGACGGCGGUACACGUAAGGUGAGCUGCGAAUUCGUCAGUGGCGGAAUAAGAAGCUUUAUAACCAACCCUUCCGUUCCUUUCCUGCCUCAGCCACAGGCACUGCCUCCAACACCCCGCGAGCGUCCGAAACACAGCGACACAAAGCCUCAUCUCCACAGCCUGUUGGCAUCUCCAGGACACUCAUGGGAUGAGCAGCCCGCCGCCAGGGAACGCAAAAGGCACUCACACAGAAAAUAUAUUUACUUAAAUAAAACAGAACUCCUCCUGUCCACAAGAUGGGAUGCAUUACCACGUCACUGCCUCGUGUUUCUUGAUGCUGCGCUGUUAGCGCUGCCAAAUUGCCGGAGCUGCUGUUCUGUGUGGGAGGUGUUAAAACCUUUUUUUAGACAGAGAUAAUUGGAUCAUCUGAAGGAUGUUGAUGGUUUUAUUCUCAGUCGAUUUUCUUAAAUAUUUUUGCUAACGUUAUUGGUGCGGAAGGAAUACUGUCUAGCAGACUGAGCAAGCUGCCAGAGGGUGCGAGAGGUCUUCAGCAUAGCUGUGAAUAAAGCCCCAAAAGAUUUACUACUUCCUUACUACGAAACAGAGCCGAGCAUCGGCCACACGGCUGAGAGCAGAGCGCAGCCUUCACUGCAGGUAGGAGAGACCAAGUAGUGCUCCUGUGUAACCAAAGGCAUCCUCCUCUGUUCACUACUGUUCCAAUACUACAGCUCACCAAAUGAUUUUAUACAGCUCCCAAGGAAAAGCAGGUUUAAAACGGAGCCGACGGGAAUAUAAUUUCCUAAUAUAAUUAGGAAAUAUUUCAGAACCAAACUUGCAUUGCCACCGAUGUCCUGGGAAGUGCAGCCGUGGUUUCGUUCUGUUGCCUGGGGAGCACCACAGGAGUUGCACAGCCCUGCUGGGGAUGGCACUGCCUGCUCUGCCUUCAGACGGCUGCAGUGUGAAGAGGUCGUGACACGAAGACAUGAAGGUGGACCACAGUGUUAAAUAAAUCUUAUUAGAAUUAUUUAAAA
Gallus gallus (chicken) is the source of this 1667-nucleotide long non-coding RNA. RefSeq lists it as uncharacterized. The record is from RefSeq and is a predicted model, not a curated record. The transcript has 3 exons. Lineage: Eukaryota; Metazoa; Chordata; Aves; Galliformes; Phasianidae.